GCCCUCCGCCUAUCCAGCAAGGAGCCGACCCGGGCACAGGACCUUCCCGCUGGAGGGCUGUGUUACGGGGGGUUCCCCGAAUUUAGUCCCACAUCGGCUAAUCAGCGGAAAGGUCUGUGCCUUAAAUGGGGGGCUCAAUAACCUCUUCUCACCGAGGCGCCUUUUGAAGGGCAAACCCGUGAGGGGUGGAAUGGGUGGUUCCACCCGGGGCGCCGUCAAAGCGCGGACCCCCGGGAGCGGUCACGAUCCCCGAUCCCCAAAGCGGACAAUACCUCGGUGAAGACGCGG
This 288-nucleotide long non-coding RNA is filed under the name Phoenix dactylifera (date palm). RNAcentral describes it as "long non-coding RNA (PDAC_LNC002854)". The record is from RNAcentral. Lineage: Eukaryota; Viridiplantae; Streptophyta; Magnoliopsida; Arecales; Arecaceae.